This 804-nucleotide ribosomal RNA is filed under the name uncultured bacterium. RNAcentral describes it as "bacterial SSU rRNA". It matches the Rfam family "Bacterial small subunit ribosomal RNA", at positions 253 to 1063 of the family's 1533-position model. The record is from RNAcentral.
UGAGGUAACGGCUCACCAAGGCUACGAUGGUUAGGGGGUCUGAGAGGAUGAUCCCCCACACUGGUACUGAGACACGGACCAGACUCCUACGGGAGGCAGCAGUGAGGAAUAUUGGGCAAUGGGCGCAAGCCUGACCCAGCCAUGCCGCGUGAAGGAUGAAUGCCCUAUGGGUUGUAAACUUCUUUUGUACGGGACGAAACUCUUGGUCGGGACCAGGACUGACUGUACCGUACGAAUAAGCAUCGGCUAACUCCGUGCCAGCAGCCGCGGUAAUACGGAGGAUGCAAGCGUUAUCCGGAUUCAUUGGGUUUAAAGGGUGCGUAGGCGGAAUAAUAAGUCAGUGGUGAAAGCCUGCGGCUUAACCGUAGAAUUGCCAUUGAUACUGUUAUUCUUGAGUAUAGUUGAGGUGGGCGGAAUGUGUAAUGUAGCGGUGAAAUGCUUAGAUAUUACACAGAACACCAAUUGCGAAGGCAGCUCACUAAGCUGUUACUGACGCUGAGGCACGAAAGCGUGGGGAGCAAACAGGAUUAGAUACCCUGGUAGUCCACGCCGUAAACGAUGAUCACUCGUUGUUGGCGAUACACCGUCAGCGACUGAGCGAAAGCAAUAAGUGAUCCACCUGGGGAGUACGGUCGCAAGACUGAAACUCAAAGGAAUUGACGGGGGCCCGCACAAGCGGAGGAACAUGUGGUUUAAUUCGAUGAUACGCGAGGAACCUUACCUGGGCUUGAAGGGGAACGACUUCCCGGGAACCGGGAUUCUCUUCGAGCGUUCUCCUAGUGCUGCAUGAUGUCGUCAGCUCGU